AUAGCAUGGCAAAUACAUAUCUCAGACAUCAUAUAUACCUAUACUGAACUCACUUCUUCAGUUGAAUGAAUCAAGACUGGUUUACAAAGCUCAAUUGAUGGAAGGCACAUGGACAAGAUGACAUUUUGCUCGAGUGCUGCUGUUUCUUAAAACAAAAACUAUAUCCAUUUUGUUUUAAGUGCACCAUGUUGUAUAUUGUGCUAGCUUUUAGCAUUGAGAACUUACAGAAUAUAUUAUAUGCAAUAGAAUACUUUUUUUCCAGGGCAUGCCGAACCAUCUCAAACUAGGCAGUUUGGGCUAUACUGAACAAUACCGGUCAAGAAACAGGACGAUUCGGGUAGGAUGGUUCAGUCCCUUAAAUCUCACGAGCCCUUCCCGAUGCCCCCUUGACCCUCCAUUCUCUCUCUACCCCUUCCGCCAUGAUUGGAGCUUCGAAGCUCUGAUGCGUGCAUUGGUCAUUCGGUCGCUCAUCUCGCUCGCUUAGUCACUCAUCUAGCUCACUUCAUUGCUUGUUUUGUUUGCUCGGUUGCUUGUUUCACUCACUCGAUUGCUCAUCUUGCUGCAUUUUGACAUUGGUUGAUGUUGAUCGAUCUCGCUACCUUUCUCGUUCUCCCUUUCUCCUUCUCUCCCCUCUCCCUCCCUUUCCUUCUCCCUCUCCCCCUCCCUCUCUUGCUUUAGUUUACCCCAGCAUGGUACAGUAUGUACAAAACUGUACCAAACCAAUCGCUGGCCGGUGUAAGGCCUGGUGCUGGUCCAGCAGAUCUUGCUUUUUUCUCUUUAUAGUAUACACUAAACAUAAUUUUGUGCUCAAUAUCUCCUACCUUAGAACCAUAGCCAACAUUUAAAUAUGCUCUUAUAGUUUUUAAUUUUUCAAUUUUUUUCCAAUCUAGAAAUCGAGUACCCACUUUUUUCCUUGGAGGGGGUCAGGACUCAUGACUAGAUGGAAACCAAGAGAUACAAUGGUGUCAUAAUCUCUAAAAUAUGCUGAUCUCAACUUGAUGUAGUUCUCCAUGCUAGCCCUAUCAGUUUAGGAGUUAAAAGCUCAAUGUUCACUAAUUUUUCAACAUGUCUUUCAAACUACAAUUUAAAAUAUAUUAUUGCAUGAUAGUUGACCUUAGCAAACUGAGACCUUUCAUAUCAUGCAACUUGUGCCAACUCUCUACCAAAUUGCUGAGCUAUAUCAAAUUUCUAUCUAAAAUGCUGAUGUAGUUUUAUUUGUUGCAUGUAUAUGUAUUCUUUAAAGUCUAAAUUUUUAAUCAUGUCUCCAUAGUCCAAUAUGAGUGUCAAUCUGUACAGAAAUACUGGCAACAAAACAUAUUUUCAAUGUCUCAUAUUGUGCAACAACAAAAGUUUGUAUAGCUAGCUAAUUAUAGUUUUAAACCCAAGAUGCAGGAUACAUCACAAAAAAAUUGUGCAUUAGCAAAGCAAUUUCCUUUUUUUUUUAUUUAGUAUGGAGUCAACAACCCCUUUAAUAUUUCCAAUCCGGAUUUUUGAGGAACAGCUAUAAGCUAGCAUCUAUAUUAGAAUUGUGCAGGUCACUACUAAACAAAGAUCAUUAAGCAAGCUGGUUACAAAAUCACCAUAAUAAACAACCUCUAUAACUCAAUAUUAAGCAUAUCUUCCAUGAUCAAGACCUUAGAGUUAAGUGGAAUAUUGAUCAAAAUCCUCAGGGUUACCCUCAAAUAGAGGGUAUUCCAAGUGACCAGAUACUCCAUUUCAUUUCCACUAAGAAAAUGACCCCAUCAAGGGGUUGCGCGGGCACGAGGACGAGGCAUACUUGAGAAUCCAAUUCACAGGUAAAAGUGUUUGUUCAUGAACUAUCUACACAGUUGUUGUCUAUACAACUAAUCUAGUUUAUUUCUAAGCAUUUCAGGUACCUAAAUUACAAUGUCAGACCACUCCUGAACUAUACUCCCCAUCUCAACCUGGCUGGCCACUUCAAACUGGAUGCAACAUAAAAUCAUUCCCCCAAUAAAAUUCCUAUUUGAGGACACCUUUAUUACAUGUACUGCAGGCCUAUUUAAGUGUAUAUGUUGUGAUGUUCCAAACAGCUUUAAUGUUCCAAUAUCUUAUUCACAUGCAUUUUUUAUACUUGCUUUUCAAAAUUCAUUUUAGCAAGAGAAAGUUUUAUUAACUUUACUCUCCAACGUUGAAGCUCUAUGCAUGACACUUACUCAUAUUUCUUUUAUCAGAUUUGAUGGAUUGACUUAAUCACCUAGGAGUGUUAGUAGGCCUUAAUUGGAAUAAGGCCUGGGAGGUCAGGCCUCAUUCAGGUAGGGUCUAUGCUGCAAAGAAUCAAGCUCUAAAGUAGAUCCAGCCAAACCUUAUAAGCCUCAUAGUAAUUUAGACCUGGUAUGGACCACCAAGGCUAGGCCAAACUUUAUAACUUGGAAUUAUAUAUACUUUUUCUUAUGAGAUUCAUGUCUUUCUUAUUGAGAUCUUACUUUCUUUCCUUAUCAUUUAGACUUUUCUGGUCCAGAGGAAGGGGUUGCUCUGUAGUUUCCCCAAACUUCAUAAACAGUCUCUUUAUGCAUUUCUAGCAUUUUAGAUAUCACAGGUUUUUGAUGCUAGGCAGAAAUUCAAUCAAAAUAUAUUAUGAAACUAUGGUUGAUGUGCUGCUGCAUUAUACGAACUCCAUAUAGAUGAGAUAUUGCUUCCUGGUGUGAUGUUAGGUUUGAUAUGUGUUUGUGUGUACCAUAACUAUGUGCUCUCUCUCUCUCUCAUGCGCGCGCGCACAAAAACACAGACGAUCGACUAAAGUGUACAUAUUAUCUUGGCUAAAAGAUUUAAUCAUUUAAAAAUCAAUCAUGGGCCACCCAAGUUGGAGAUCAUUGUAUCCAGUUCACAUUCAUAUGUCAUUCUAUAUCAGCACAACUAACUUUCGUAGAUAUUUACAUUGCGAGGUGAUUUGAGGAUUAAAUUAUUAUCCAAAAAUUGAAUGCAACAUAAUUCUUUAACAAUUUCAUUGGUUUUUAACAAUUUUUAUAAUUCUUUAUACUUUUAGUUUUCAGCCUGGGAUGAUCAAAACCAUAAAUCCAAAUAUUACAAACAACACAAUAUGUUAUAAAAUUGUAUAACCUAUGGUUUCUUGUUCUUUUUUCCCUAUAUAUACCAAUUUUUUUCAUUUUUUUUCCAAAUUUCUGGCUGAUACUUCAAAGCUCGAGCUAUAAUAGUUGAAUAGAAACUUGGUGGGCCCCGACCAAACCUAAACAAACUAUGUAAGCCUUCAUUUAAUUGCUGUCAUUUUUGUCAUUGCAGGCACAUGAAUUUACCUUUAUCGAGUAAAGAAAAUUUGUGAAACAUGCUUCUUCUGAUGGGCUUCCUCUUAGGAAGGGGCACCUGCGAUUGAAUCUGUAAGGAGAAAGAAUUCCAGAAGCAUCUCUUGCAGCCCAAGCUAAGCAAUCUCUGCUGCCAGUAUCAGUGUCCAUUGCUAAGAUAUCUGCAACUACGAAAACAUCAUGUGACACAGAAAUACCAAUAUAUGCACCAUAAGUACUUUUAUUAUCAGAUUUUCUUUGAGAAAUAUUAGCAUGAUCAGAUGUACAAGUUAAAAUUUGGGUAACAGGCACACAAAGUCAUGAGCUUUUCCUUCCACUGAGACAAAAUCAUGCUUUAUCUUAAUCAUUACUUAACAACUCAAAGCAGAAAAGGUCUCAACAAUUGCCUAGCACAUAAUUGAUUUCAUUCCUUAUAAUUGUGCUAUAAAGUUCCCUGUCUUAUAUAAGUUGAAGCUUUUGUCAGGAAAAAAAGCUAAAUCUCUCUCUCUCUCUCUCUCACCCACAUACACUCACCCCGCACAAAAAAAAUUGCUUGAGGAUAUAGUUGGAGUCUUUAACUUCUCUGCAGUAUUAUGCUCCCAAAUAAAGCAUGCAAGGUUAGAUGGAUAUAGUAACAGCAAUUUCUUUAAAGAAAAUGGAAGCUAAAACCCCACCUGAUAUCACUAAGAUAAAAUCAAAGUCAAAUAUUUCCAUAGAGUAGUCUUUCACAUUGAAAUAACAGCUGCUCUACGAUUCUUGCUACUGUUGCAACAAAGUCUCUACUGGCGCACAAUUGAUAUUUAGUCAAUCGGGGGUUUAAACAUACAACCUAUAUUUGUGCCUCCUAAGAUCAAAAUAUCUCCUAAGAUUAAAAAAAAAAUGAUGCAUUCCCCAUCUGAGAAGAAUAAGACAAGAACUUUAAUGAUCAUGAAAGAAAUAGUCCAGUGUCGAUAAUAAUAUAUAA
This is a non-coding RNA of Phoenix dactylifera (date palm), 4221 nucleotides long. Lineage: Eukaryota; Viridiplantae; Streptophyta; Magnoliopsida; Arecales; Arecaceae. The record is from RefSeq and is a predicted model, not a curated record.